UGUGGGACUGCAAAUGGGAGCUCAGCACCUUCCUGCCACCCACACAGACCAGCCCCUGCUCUGUUCCCACAG
MicroRNA precursor from Colobus angolensis palliatus, 72 nucleotides. Lineage: Eukaryota; Metazoa; Chordata; Mammalia; Primates; Cercopithecidae. The record is from Ensembl.